Molecule: ribosomal RNA, 371 nt
Filed under: uncultured organism
Description: partial 16S ribosomal RNA
Rfam family: Bacterial small subunit ribosomal RNA
Source: RNAcentral
GUAGGUGGCAAGCGUUGUCCGGAAUUAUUGGGCGUAAAGCGCGCGCAGGCGGUUCUUUAAGUCUGAUGUGAAAGCCCACGGCUCAACCGUGGAGGGUCAUUGGAAACUGGAGAACUUGAGUGCAGAAGAGGAAAGCGGAAUUCCACGUGUAGCGGUGAAAUGCGUAGAGAUGUGGAGGAACACCAGUGGCGAAGGCGGCUUUCUGGUCUGUGACUGACGCUGAGGCGCGAAAGCGUGGGGGAGCAAACAGGAUUAGAUACCCUGGUAGUCCACGCCGUAAACGAUGAGUGCUAAGUGUUAGGGGGUUUCCGCCCCUUAGUGCUGCAGCUAACGCAUUAAGCACUCCGCCUGGGAGUACGGCCGCAAGGCUG